RNAcentral lists this ribosomal RNA (434 nucleotides) under uncultured bacterium. RNAcentral's name for it is "bacterial SSU rRNA". It matches the Rfam family "Bacterial small subunit ribosomal RNA", at positions 29 to 470 of the family's 1533-position model. The record is from RNAcentral.
AGUGAACGCUGGCGGCAGGCCUAACACAUGCAAGUCGAGCGGCAGCGCGGGGCAACCUGGCGGCGAGCGGCGGACGGGUGAGGAAUGCAUCGGAAUCUACCCUGUCGUGGGGGAUAACGUAGGGAAACUUACGCUAAUACCGCAUACGACCGAGAGGUGAAAGUGGGGGACCUUCGGGCCUCACGCGAUUGGAUGAGCCGAUGCCGGAUUAGCUAGUUGGUGGGUAAAGGCCCACCAAGGCGACGAUCCGUAGCUGGUCUGAGAGGAUGAUCAGCCACAUUGGGACUGAGACACGGCCCAAACUCCUACGGGAGGCAGCAGUGGGGAAUAUUGGACAAUGGGCGCAAGCCUGAUCCAGCCAUGCCGCGUGUGUGAAGAAGGCCUCGGUUGUAAGCACUUUGUUCGGGUAGAAAUACGUACGGAGUUAAUACUUU